CAGUAGCCACGGGAAUACAGAGGGUGCAAGCGUUAAUCGGAAUUACUGGGCGUAAAGCGCGCGUAGGUGGUUCGCCAAGUUGGAUGUGAAAUCCCCGGGCUCAACCUGGGAACUGCAUCCAAAACUGGCGAGCUAGAGUAUGGUAGAGGGUGGUGGAAUUUCCUGUGUAGCGGUGAAAUGCGUAGAUAUAGGAAGGAACAUCAGUGGCGAAGGCGACCACCUGGACUGAUACUGACACUGAGGUGCGAAAGCGUGGGGAGCAAACAGGAUUAGAUACCCCCGUAGUCCCUGUCUCUUAUAC
RNAcentral lists this ribosomal RNA (301 nucleotides) under uncultured bacterium. Its description in RNAcentral is "partial 16S ribosomal RNA". It matches the Rfam family "Bacterial small subunit ribosomal RNA", at positions 509 to 807 of the family's 1533-position model. The record is from RNAcentral.